AUUUGGUUUUCUUGCGAAGGUUUUUUCAACAUUUGAGGAAUUAGGUAUCUCAGUUGAUUGCGUGGCUACUAGUGAAGUCAGUAUUUCUUUGACACUAGAUCCAUCGAAGAUUUGGAGCAGAGAAUUAAUUCAGCAGGAACUUGAUCAUGUGGUAGAAGAGCUGGAGAAAGUUGCUGUUGUCCAUCUUCUUCAGAACAGAUCAAUAAUAUCUCUGAUCGGGAAUGUGCAGCGGUCUUCAUUGAUACUAGAAAAGGCAUUCAGUGUUCUCCGUAAGAAUGGAGUGAAUGUUCAGAUGAUCUCACAAGGUGCAUCA
RNAcentral lists this unclassified non-coding RNA (313 nucleotides) under Hevea brasiliensis (rubber tree). Lineage: Eukaryota; Viridiplantae; Streptophyta; Magnoliopsida; Malpighiales; Euphorbiaceae. The record is from RNAcentral.